RNAcentral lists this unclassified non-coding RNA (357 nucleotides) under Cladonia floerkeana. Its description in RNAcentral is "partial 28S-18S ribosomal RNA intergenic spacer". Lineage: Eukaryota; Fungi; Ascomycota; Lecanoromycetes; Lecanorales; Cladoniaceae. The record is from RNAcentral.
ACCGAAGCUCGUAUCCGCCUCCGGGCGUGACGGGCGGCUGGUAUCCUCCUUCUGAGGAGUAUAUGCCGCAGCGUGGGCAGGCCUUCGGGUCAUGAAUUCCCAACGUUGCGGCGGACCACUCCUUGGGCAACUCAGUGGGGGCAAUUGGAUCGUCCAUGGGCACCUUUGGCGGCUUUGGCCCUAGGGGUGACCUGGGCUGGGCGUUGGGCUUCGGUUCACGUCCUGACCUCUUAACUAACCCUGACCCCUUCUUUCAUGGAAGGUUGCCGGUGGUCCUUUCACCCUUUGGGGCGGAGUGGCCUCCCGGUUAAGAUAGUUACCUGGUUGAUUCUGCCAGUAGUCAUAUGCUUGUCUCAA